CCUACGGGUGGCAGCAGUGGGGAAUAUUGCACAAUGGGGGAAACCCUGAUGCAGCGACGCCGCGUGAAGGAAGAAGUAUUUCGGUGUGUAAACCUCUAUCAGCAGGGAAGAAAAUGACGGUACCUGACUCAGAAACCCCGGCUAACUACGUGCCAGCAGCCGCGGUUAUACGUAGGGGGCAGGCGUUAUCCGGAAUUACUGGGUGUAAAGGGAGCGUAGGCGGCUUAGCAAGUCAGAAGUGAAAGCCCGGGGCCCAACCCCGGGACUGCUUUUGAAACUGUUUAACUAGAGUGCAGGAGAGGUAAGUGGAAUUCCUGGUGUAGCGGUGAAAUGCGUAGAUAUUAGGAGGAACACCGGUGGCGAAGGCGGCUUACUGGACUGUAACUGACGUUGAGGCUCGAAAGCGUGGGGAGCAAACAGGAUUAGAUACCCGAGUAGUC
RNAcentral lists this ribosomal RNA (440 nucleotides) under uncultured bacterium. Its description in RNAcentral is "partial 16S ribosomal RNA". It matches the Rfam family "Bacterial small subunit ribosomal RNA", at positions 338 to 795 of the family's 1533-position model. The record is from RNAcentral.